Molecule: ribosomal RNA, 433 nt
Filed under: uncultured bacterium
Lineage: Bacteria
Description: partial 16S ribosomal RNA
Rfam family: Bacterial small subunit ribosomal RNA
Source: RNAcentral
AACGAACGCUGGCGGCAUGCCUAACACAUGCAAGUCGAACGAGACCUUCGGGUCUAGUGGCGCACGGGUGCGUAACGCGUGGGAACCUGCCCUUAGGUUCGGAAUAACUCCCCGAAAGGGGUGCUAAUACCGGAUAAUGUCUUCGGACCAAAGAUUUAUCGCCUUUGGAUGGGCCCGCGUUGGAUUCGCUAGUUGGUAGGGUAAAAGCCUACCAAGGCGACGAUCCAUAGCUGGUCUGAGAGGAUGAUCAGCCACACUGGGACUGAGACACGGCCCAGACUCCUACGGGAGGCAGCAGUGGGGAAUAUUGGACAAUGGGCGAAAGCCUGAUCCAGCAAUGCCGCGUGAGUGAUGAAGGCCUUAGGGUUGUAAAGCUCUCUUACCCGGGAUGAUAAUGACAGUACCGGGAGAAUAAGCUCCGGCUAACUCCGUG